Molecule: ribosomal RNA, 253 nt
Filed under: uncultured bacterium
Lineage: Bacteria
Description: partial 16S ribosomal RNA
Rfam family: Bacterial small subunit ribosomal RNA
Source: RNAcentral
UACGUAGGUGGCAAGCGUUGUUCGGAAUUAUUGGGCGUAAAGGGCGCGUAGGCGGUUUGCUAAGUCAGUUGUGAAAGCCCGGGGCUCAACCCCGGAGGGUCGGCUGAUACUGGUGGACUAGAGUACGGAAGAGGUAGCUGGAAUUCCCGGUGUAGCGGUGAAAUGCGUAGAUAUGACACAGAACGCCGAUUGCGAAGGCAGCUAGCUAGACCGACAUUGACGCUGAGGCACGAAAGCGUGGGGAUCAAACAGG